UACGUAGGGGGCAAACGUUGCUCGGAAUUACUGGGCGUAAAGGGUGUGUAGGCGGCUGAGCAAGUCAAGGAUGAAAUCCCGGGGCUCAACUCCGGAAUUGUCCUUGAAACUGUUCAGCUUGAGGAUAGUUGAGGAGAGCGGAAUUCCCGGUGGAGCGGUGAAAUGCGUAGAUAUCGGGAGGAACACCAGAGGCGAAGGCGGUUCUCUGAGCUAUUCCUGACGCUGAGACACGAAAGCUAGGGGAGCAAACGGGAUUAGAUACCCCCGUA
Molecule: ribosomal RNA, 269 nt
Filed under: uncultured prokaryote
Description: partial 16S ribosomal RNA
Rfam family: Bacterial small subunit ribosomal RNA
Source: RNAcentral